CCCUUAGAUGUUCUGGGCCGCACGCGCGCUACACUGACGAAUGCAACGAGCUUAUAACCUUGGCCGAAAGGUCUGGGUAAUCUCCAAAUUUCGUCGUGAUGGGGAUAGAUUAUUGCAAUUAUUAAUCUUCAACGAGGAAUGCCUAGUAAGCGCAAGUCAUCAGCUUGCGUUGAUUACGUCCCUGCCCUUUGUACACACCGCCCGUCGCUCCUACCGAUUGAAUGGUCCGGUGAAGCGCUCGGACCGCGGCCUCUUGACGGUUCGCGGUCGAUUGGCUGUGGGAAGUUCGUUAAACCUUAUCAUUUAGAGGAAGGAGAAGUCGUAACA
Molecule: ribosomal RNA, 327 nt
Filed under: uncultured eukaryote
Lineage: Eukaryota
Description: partial 18S ribosomal RNA
Rfam family: Eukaryotic small subunit ribosomal RNA
Source: RNAcentral